Molecule: non-coding RNA, 113 nt
Organism: Acanthosepion pharaonis
Lineage: Eukaryota; Metazoa; Mollusca; Cephalopoda; Sepiida; Sepiidae
Source: the annotation of a GenBank genome assembly
UUACGGCCACAUCAUGUUGAGACAUCGGUUCCCGUACGAUCACCGAAGUUAAGCAAUGGCAAACUAGUUAGUACCUGGAAGGAUGAUCACUUGGGAAGAUCAGGUGCUGUAUG